GCCGAGGGGUCUUGGGCAGGACUGACUCCUCCUUUGUUCCCCCCACAGCCUGCUGGACCGGGUGUUGUGGAGGGCAGGGGCUUCUGGUGGGCACUGACCUGCACUCUCUGUCCCCAGGCUCUCGGCUGAGCAAAAUCUAUUCCCAGUCCACCCUGUCACUGUCCACUGUGGCCAACGAGGCCCACAAUAACCUCGGGGUGAAGAGGCCCACGUCUCGGGCUCCCUCCCCGUCAGGUCUCAUGUCCCCAAGCCGCCUGCCUGGAAGCCGCGAACGGGACUGGGAAAAUGGCAGCAAUGCCUCCUCCCCAGCAUCAGUGCCCGAG
RNAcentral lists this small RNA (323 nucleotides) under Pan troglodytes (chimpanzee). RNAcentral's name for it is "retained intron". The record is from RNAcentral. Lineage: Eukaryota; Metazoa; Chordata; Mammalia; Primates; Hominidae.